This is a long non-coding RNA of Lathyrus oleraceus (garden pea), 622 nucleotides long. RefSeq lists it as uncharacterized. NCBI's taxonomy places the organism in Eukaryota, Viridiplantae, Streptophyta, Magnoliopsida, Fabales, Fabaceae. The record is from RefSeq and is a predicted model, not a curated record. The transcript has 2 exons.
AUUCUUCAUAGGCUAUUAUACAUCAGAAUUUGAUUCAGAGCUUCUGAUUAUAGUAGCUUUUGAACAUCAUCAGACUCUGCUAUUCCAAUCAGAAGUUUUUACUUUAAUCGGAGCCCCGAUCGAGAAAAGGAGUGAAAAAGAGCUAAAAACCCUAAAAUUCAGCAUUUUGUACUUGUGGCCUACCCCAUGGCUGGCGCCAUAGACCCUGCCAUGACGUGUCCAAGCUCAACUUCCCUCAACUGCCACGUUCCCCACUACUUCCACUAAGGCGCCUCAGAUUGGCCUUGUUGCGGGCGCCAUGGCCUUGUGGCGGGCGCCACAAGAGGAAAAGUUUUCCCUCCCAUUUUCAAGUUGAAGGGCAUCCUUAUCAUUUCCAUCUUUUUACUUGCUUAUAAAUAGAAACUCGAAAUCACUUUUACAAUGAUCCAAACUUAGAGCAGAGGCAAACUCAGAGCAACUUUGUUUCACUUAGGCAUAUAUUCAGUAUUAUAAAGUGGUAAUCGCUUCGCAUUGGAGUGUUACCACAAUUAUGUAAUCAAGUCUGUGAUAGAGUCUGUAAUCGAGUUUGGAGCACUUUGGAAGGAAGUUAAUCAUGCCGCCAUUUUCAUUUCCGCUUUGCAAA